GAUCAUGGCUCAGGACGAACGCUGGCGGCGUGCUUAAUACAUGCAAGUCGAACGAGAAUCUGCGGAAAGAGGAUUCGUCCAAUUGAAUCAGAGGACAGUGGCGGACGGGUGAGUAACGCGUGAGGAACCUGCCUUUCAGAGGGGGACAACAGUUGGAAACGACUGCUAAUACCGCAUGACACAUAGGUGUCGCAUGGCACUUAUGUCAAAGAUUUAUCGCUGAAAGA
RNAcentral lists this ribosomal RNA (227 nucleotides) under uncultured bacterium. Its description in RNAcentral is "partial 16S ribosomal RNA". It matches the Rfam family "Bacterial small subunit ribosomal RNA", at positions 15 to 225 of the family's 1533-position model. The record is from RNAcentral.